RNAcentral lists this ribosomal RNA (608 nucleotides) under uncultured bacterium. Its description in RNAcentral is "bacterial SSU rRNA". It matches the Rfam family "Bacterial small subunit ribosomal RNA", at positions 791 to 1398 of the family's 1533-position model. The record is from RNAcentral.
UAGUCCACGCCGUAAACGAUGUCUACUUGGAGGUUGUGGCCUUGAGCCGUGGCUUUCGGAGCUAACGCGUUAAGUAGACCGCCUGGGGAGUACGGUCGCAAGAUUAAAACUCAAAUGAAUUGACGGGGGCCCGCACAAGCGGUGGAGCAUGUGGUUUAAUUCGAUGCAACGCGAAGAACCUUACCUACUCUUGACAUCCAGAGAACUUAGCAGAGAUGCUUUGGUGCCUUCGGGAACUCUGAGACAGGUGCUGCAUGGCUGUCGUCAGCUCGUGUUGUGAAAUGUUGGGUUAAGUCCCGCAACGAGCGCAACCCUUAUCCUUGUUUGCCAGCGAGUAAUGUCGGGAACUCCAGGGAGACUGCCGGUGAUAAACCGGAGGAAGGUGGGGACGACGUCAAGUCAUCAUGGCCCUUACGAGUAGGGCUACACACGUGCUACAAUGGCGCAUACAGAGGGCAGCCAACUUGCGAAAGUGAGCGAAUCCCAAAAAGUGCGUCGUAGUCCGGAUUGGAGUCUGCAACUCGACUCCAUGAAGUCGGAAUCGCUAGUAAUCGUAGAUCAGAAUGCUACGGUGAAUACGUUCCCGGGCCUUGUACACACCGCCCGUC